RNAcentral lists this ribosomal RNA (352 nucleotides) under uncultured bacterium. RNAcentral's name for it is "bacterial SSU rRNA". It matches the Rfam family "Bacterial small subunit ribosomal RNA", at positions 1037 to 1390 of the family's 1533-position model. The record is from RNAcentral.
GGUGGUGCGUGGUUGUCGUCAGCUCGUGUCGUGAGAUGUUGGGUUAAGUCCCGCAACGAGCGCAACCCUUAUUCUUAGUUGCCAUCAUUUAGUUGGGCACCCUAAGGAGACUGCCGGUGACAAACCGGAGGAAGGUGGGGAUGACGUCAAAUCAUCAUGCCCCUUAUGACCUGGGCUACACACGUGCUACAAUGGACGAUACAAAGAGUCGCAAACUCGCGAGGGUAAGCUAAUCUCAUAAAAUCGUUCUCAGUUCGGAUUGUAGGCUGCAACUCGCCUGCAUGAAGCCGGAAUCGCUAGUAAUCGCGGAUCAGCAUGCCGCGGUGAAUACGUUCCCGGGUCUUGUACACAC